This 1453-nucleotide unclassified non-coding RNA is filed under the name Leishmania donovani. RNAcentral describes it as "gene:LdHU3.34.0260(CDS-product:mitochondrial_mala te_dehydrogenase)". Lineage: Eukaryota; Euglenozoa; Kinetoplastea; Trypanosomatida; Trypanosomatidae. The record is from RNAcentral.
GAUCUUCACGCGCGUACAGUCAACGACACAAAGACACGGAGGGAGCAGUGCUCGUAUCGCUGACCGUCGAGAACGUGUUUCUCAUCUUCAAGCGGUCUCUGGCGUAACGCAACCGACCCCCCCCCUCCCGCACCCACACACACACGCCCCGCCUUUCCUCUGCCUCGAUUUCCCAGUCUCACGACGUGCAAGCGCCCGCACACUCACUCCGGUGUCUCCAGAGGUGCCCUUACGAGAGAGGAGGUGGGCUACAGGCUCUCUACGCGAAGGGCGGCGUGCAUACGCAACUGCGUUCGGGGCCGCUACCCAUCUUCCACAAAGACGCAGGCACUACCGCGCAAGUGCCGCCAAGUACCAUUUCGUCAUCGAGAGUCAUGCGCUCCUCUGCGGCUCGGCUGUUCCGCGUUGCCGUCCUGGGAGCGGCUGGCGGCAUCGGCCAGCCCUUGUCGCUCCUCCUAAAGUGCAGCCCUCUAGUGACGAGUCUUUCGCUCUACGACAUUCGCGGCGGACCAGGCGUGGCUGCGGACCUCUCCCACAUUCCGUCACCGGCAGAGGUGACCGGGUUUUCCUCAGGUGAGCUGGAGAAAGCCGUGAAGGGAGCGGACUUGGCGCUGGUGGUGGCUGGCAUCCCCCGCAAACCGGGGAUGACGCGCGACGACCUCUUCCACACGAACGCCAGCAUCGUGCGCGAUCUCGCCAUCGCCGUUGGCACGCACGCGCCGAAGGCAAUUGUUGGUAUUAUCACGAACCCCGUCAACAGCACUGUGCCAGUGGCUGCUGAGGCGCUGAAGAAGGUCGGCGUGUACGACCCUGCGCGCCUCUUUGGCGUCACCACACUCGACGUUGUCCGUGCCCGCACCUUCGUUGGAGAGGCGCUCGGUGCCAGCCCGUACGACGUUGACGUCCCCGUUGUUGGCGGCCACAGCGGUGAGACGAUUGUGCCGUUGCUAUCAGGCUUCCCGUCGCUGUCGGAGGAGCAGGUGCGGCAGCUGACGCACCGCAUCCAGUUUGGUGGUGAUGAGGUGGUGAAGGCCAAGAAUGGUGCGGGCUCGGCGACGCUGUCCAUGGCGUACGCGGCCUCGGAAUGGUCCAUCUCGAUGCUCAAGGCUCUUCGUGGUGAUAGGGGCAUUAUCGAGUACGCUCUUGUGGAAAGUGACAUGCAGCGGCCACAUUCUCGCUUCUUUGGAUGUGCAGUGGAACUUGGCACAAACGGCGUAGAGCGUGUGCUGCCGAUGCCGAAGCUGAACGCCUACGAACAGCAGUUGCUGGACGCGUGCCUUCCUGCACUCAGCGCUGAGUUCCGCAAGGGGGUCGACUUUGCCGUCAAGCCGCACCUCUCACAGGAUAGUUGAGCUGCAAAUGCAUGCCCCACACACACGCACCGGCGCCGCCCUCCGUUGCUCCGUUUUGCUUGACUCCCUCGCCCUCAGAUGUUUUCCGUUGCUUUUGCGCU